UACGUAGGGUGCGAGCGUUGUCCGGAAUUAUUGGGCGUAAAGGGCUCGUAGGCGGUCUGUCGCGUCGGGAGUGAAAACUCAGGGCUUAACCCUGAGCCUGCUUCCGAUACGGGCAGACUAGAGGUAUGCAGGGGAGAACGGAAUUCCUGGUGUAGCGGUGAAAUGCGCAGAUAUCAGGAGGAACACCGGUGGCGAAGGCGGUUCUCUGGACAGUUCCUGACGCUGAGGCGCGAAGGCCAGGGGAGCAAACGGG
RNAcentral lists this ribosomal RNA (253 nucleotides) under uncultured bacterium. RNAcentral's name for it is "partial 16S ribosomal RNA". It matches the Rfam family "Bacterial small subunit ribosomal RNA", at positions 524 to 776 of the family's 1533-position model. The record is from RNAcentral.